UACGUAGGGGGCGAGCGUUAUCCGGAAUUAUUGGGCGUAAAGAGUGCGUAGGUGGUUACCUAAGCGCAGGGUUUAAGGCAAUGGCUCAACCAUUGUUCGCCUUGCGAACUGGGCUACUUGAGUGCAGGAGAGGAAAGCGGAAUUCCUAGUGUAGCGGUGAAAUGCGUAGAUAUUAGGAGGAACACCAGUGGCGAAGGCGGCUUUCUGGACUGUAACUGACACUGAGGCACGAAAGCGUGGGGAGCAAACAGG
RNAcentral lists this ribosomal RNA (252 nucleotides) under uncultured bacterium. Its description in RNAcentral is "partial 16S ribosomal RNA". It matches the Rfam family "Bacterial small subunit ribosomal RNA", at positions 524 to 776 of the family's 1533-position model. The record is from RNAcentral.